Molecule: ribosomal RNA, 292 nt
Filed under: uncultured bacterium
Lineage: Bacteria
Description: partial 16S ribosomal RNA
Rfam family: Bacterial small subunit ribosomal RNA
Source: RNAcentral
GUGCCAGCCGCCGCGGUAAGACGAAGGGGGCUAGCGUUGUUCGGAAUUACUGGGCGUAAAGCGAGUGUAGGCGGUUGCCCAAGUCAGGUGUGAAAGCCUUGAGCUCAACUCAAGAAAUGCACUUGGUACUGGGUGGCUAGAGGACCGGAGAGGAUAGUGGAAUUCCCAGUGUAGUGGUGAAAUACGUAGAGAUUGGGAAGAACACCAGUGGCGAAGGCGGCUAUCUGGACGGUUACUGACGCUAAGACUCGAAAGCGUGGGGAGCAAACAGGAUUAGAUACCCUAGUAGUCC